CCCUACGGGGGGCAGCAGUGAGGAAUAUUGGUCAAUGGGCUUACGCCUGAACCAGCCAAGUCGCGUGAGGGAAGACUGCCCUAUGGGUUGUAAACCUCUUUUGUCAGGGAGCAAUAAUGGUCACGUGUGGCCAGACGAGAGUACCGUACGAAUAAGCAUCGGCUAACUCCGUGCCGGCAGCCGCGGUAAUACGGGGGAUGCAAGCGUUAUCCGGAUUUAUUGGGUUUAAAGGGUGCGUAGGCUGUGAGGUAAGUCAGCGGUGAAAUGCCCCCGCUCAACGGGGUGAAGUGCCAUUGAUACUGCCU
This 305-nucleotide ribosomal RNA is filed under the name uncultured bacterium. RNAcentral's name for it is "bacterial SSU rRNA". It matches the Rfam family "Bacterial small subunit ribosomal RNA", at positions 337 to 638 of the family's 1533-position model. The record is from RNAcentral.